Antechinus flavipes (yellow-footed antechinus) is the source of this 106-nucleotide small nuclear RNA. The record is from RefSeq and is a predicted model, not a curated record. Lineage: Eukaryota; Metazoa; Chordata; Mammalia; Dasyuromorphia; Dasyuridae.
AUGCUUCUUCAGCAGCACAUAUACUAAAAUUGAAAUGAUACAGAGAAGAAUAGCACGGCUACUCCACAGGCAUGGCACGCAAAUUCAUGAAGCUUUCUGUUUUUGA